RNAcentral lists this ribosomal RNA (380 nucleotides) under Anilios australis (Southern blind snake). RNAcentral's name for it is "partial 12S ribosomal RNA". It matches the Rfam family "Bacterial small subunit ribosomal RNA", at positions 796 to 1381 of the family's 1533-position model. Lineage: Eukaryota; Metazoa; Chordata; Lepidosauria; Squamata; Typhlopidae. The record is from RNAcentral.
UUGGCAGAAACACGGCCAUACUCACCUAUGGCCCGCCAGAUAAUUACGAGUAAAAACUUAAAAUUCAAAGGACUUGACGGUGUCCCACACACAACCUAGAGGAGCCUGUCCUGUAAUCGAUACUCCACGAUAGACCCGACCACUUUUUGCCAAACAAUCUAUAUACCGCCGUCGAAAGUUUACCUUUUGAGAGAAGGGAAGUAAACACAAGAGGCCUCCCCACUAAUAUGACAGGUCAAGGUGUAGUAAAUAAAGUGGCUAGAGAUGGGCUACACUUCCUUAAUAAGGAGAAACGAACGGCUUAAUGAAACCACGCCAGAAGGCGGAUUUAGUAGUAAAAUGGGAUUAGAAAGCUCAUUUGAACACACUGCUCUGGGACG